GGUGAAGUGGCCGAGUGGCUGAAGGCGCACGCCUGGAAAGUGUGUAUACGUUAAUCGCGUAUCGAGGGUUCGAAUCCCUCCUUCACCGCCA
RNAcentral lists this transfer RNA (91 nucleotides) under Kangiella japonica. RNAcentral describes it as "tRNA-Ser". It matches the Rfam family "tRNA". Rfam says of the family: Transfer RNA (tRNA) molecules are approximately 80 nucleotides in length. Their secondary structure includes four short double-helical elements and three loops (D, anti-codon, and T loops). Lineage: Bacteria; Pseudomonadati; Pseudomonadota; Gammaproteobacteria; Kangiellales; Kangiellaceae. The record is from RNAcentral. RNAcentral also lists the same sequence under 3 other names.